GAUGAAGAACGUAGCGAAAUGCGAUACUUGGUGUGAAUUGCAGAAUCCCGUGAACCAUCGAGUCUUUGAACGCAAGUUGCGCCCGAAGCCACUAGGCCGAGGGCACGCCUGCCUGGGCGUCACACGCCGUUGCCCCCCCAUCAACUCCUUCGGGAUUGCGGGGGGGCGGAUGAUGGCCUCCUGUGCGCCUAGCCGCGCGGUUGGCAUAAAUACCAAGUCCUCGGCGACGCACGCCACGACAAUCGGUGGUUGCGAAACCUCGGUUGCUCGUCGUGUGCGUUCGUCGCGCAUCGAGGGCUCGAAAAAAUGCUCGGCUCCGGCUGGGCUUUCAACGCGACCCCAGGUCAGGCGGGGUUACCCGCUGAAUUUAAGCAUAUCAAUAAGCGGAGGA
RNAcentral lists this unclassified non-coding RNA (391 nucleotides) under soil metagenome. RNAcentral describes it as "partial contains 5.8S ribosomal RNA, internal transcribed spacer 2, and large subunit ribosomal RNA". The stretch from base 1 to 122 matches the Rfam family "5.8S ribosomal RNA", at positions 35 to 154 of the family's 154-position model. The record is from RNAcentral.